Long non-coding RNA from Aplysia californica (California sea hare), 307 nucleotides. RefSeq lists it as uncharacterized. The record is from RefSeq and is a predicted model, not a curated record. Lineage: Eukaryota; Metazoa; Mollusca; Gastropoda; Aplysiida; Aplysiidae. The transcript is spliced from 3 exons.
GUUCAAACAACUGCAGUGACAAUACCUGCAGCCACGAAGCCUCCAGCGACAACAGCAGCAGCAACAUCCAGCAAGCCAGGACCAUGUGUGGACAGAAUAAACUUCUGUCUUGUCUACUCCAAGAAAGCAUGUGAUGACACCACAUGGGCAGAUAGCUAUUGCAGGAAGUGGUGUAAUAGAUGUUAAGACGCAAACACCGUUUCCCAUGAGCAGGUCAAAGGGGCUUUCAGAGCCACAUACCUUGACCGUAUGGCUCACAGAUACCCAUAGAUUCAUUGUUAGAAGAAUAAAUUGAUUAAGAUAACAA